CCUACGUGAGGCAGCAGUGGGGAAUAUUUCGCAAUGGGCGAAAGCCUGACGCAGCGACGCCGCGUGAGGGAUGAAGGUCUUCGGAUCGUAAACCUCUGUCAGCAGGGAAGAACGGUCACUGUGCUAAUCAGCAGUGAAUUGACGGUACCUGCAAAGGAAGCACCGGCUAACUCCGUGCCAGCAGCCGCGGUAAUACGGAGGGUGCGAGCGUUAAUCGGAAUUACUGGGCGUAAAGCGCUCGUAGGCGGUAUGUCAAGUCAAGGGUGAAAUCCCCGCGCUCAACGUGGGAACUGCCUUUGAAACUGGCAAACUGGAGUGUGUGAGAGGAUAGUGGAAUUCCAGGUGUAGGAGUGAAAUCCGUAGAUAUCUGGAGGAACAUCAGUGGCGAAGGCGACUAUCUGGCACAUAACUGACGCUGAGGAGCGAAAGCGUGGGUAGCAAACAGGAUUAGAUACCCCAGUAGUC
Molecule: ribosomal RNA, 465 nt
Filed under: uncultured bacterium
Lineage: Bacteria
Description: partial 16S ribosomal RNA
Rfam family: Bacterial small subunit ribosomal RNA
Source: RNAcentral